This 319-nucleotide ribosomal RNA is filed under the name uncultured eukaryote. Its description in RNAcentral is "partial 18S ribosomal RNA". It matches the Rfam family "Eukaryotic small subunit ribosomal RNA", at positions 1470 to 1796 of the family's 1831-position model. The record is from RNAcentral.
CCCUUAGAUGUUCUGGGCCGCACGUGCGCUACAAUGGUCUUCGCAAACGGAUGCAUUCUCGAAGGAGAAUGCCAAUCUUGGAAUCUAUGCCUUGGUCGGGACAGUUGCUUGCAAUUUUUCGACUCGAACCAGGAAUUCCUUGUAAUCGUGAUUCAUCACAUCACGAUGAAUACGUCCCUGCCCUUUGUACACACCGCCCGUCGCUCCUACCGAUCGAAGAGUUAGGUGAAUUGUUUUGAUCGAUAAGAUUUGACUAUGGUCAACUCUCGUUGUGAAAUUCUGUGAAUCUGACUGUUUAGAGGAAGGAAAAGUCGUAACA